GACGAACCGUGCAAACGUUGUUCGGAAUCACUGGGCUUAAAGGGCGCGUAGGCGGGCAAGCAAGUCCGGGGUGAAAUCUUUCGGCUCAACCGGAAAAGUGCCUUGGAUACUGCUUGUCUGGAGGGAGGUAGGGGCAUGUGGAACUUCUGGUGGAGCGGUGAAAUGCGUUGAUAUCAGAAGGAACGCCGGUGGCGAAAGCGACGUGCUGGACCUCUUCUGACGCUGAGGCGCGAAAGCUAGGGGAGCAAACGGG
Molecule: ribosomal RNA, 253 nt
Filed under: uncultured bacterium
Lineage: Bacteria
Description: partial 16S ribosomal RNA
Rfam family: Bacterial small subunit ribosomal RNA
Source: RNAcentral